GCCGGGGUGGUGGAAUCGGUAGACACGAGAGACUUAAAAUCUCUUGGGGAAUUUCCCCGUGUGGGUUCGAGUCCCACCCCCGGCACAA
This 88-nucleotide transfer RNA is filed under the name Candidatus Nealsoniibacteriota bacterium. RNAcentral describes it as "Candidatus Nealsonbacteria bacterium tRNA-Leu". It matches the Rfam family "tRNA". Rfam says of the family: Transfer RNA (tRNA) molecules are approximately 80 nucleotides in length. Lineage: Bacteria; Candidatus Nealsoniibacteriota. The record is from RNAcentral.